AAGUCGUAACAAGGUUUCCGUAGGUGAACCUGCGGAAGGAUCAUUAACACUAUUAAUUAGUAUCCAAAACCUUUUGGAUCAACCAACAACUUUACGAACCAAUUGUCUCUUUUUUCUUUGCCCUAUUUUUCAUAACUACAAAUCUGAUUAUCUUUGUGUCUGAUUCAUUUUUUUCCUUUGAAAGAAGGAAAAAACAAAAAAUCUAAACGCAAUACAACUCUUAACAACGGAUAUCUUGGCUCUC
This 244-nucleotide unclassified non-coding RNA is filed under the name Phylloporus sp. Its description in RNAcentral is "partial contains small subunit ribosomal RNA, internal transcribed spacer 1, and 5.8S ribosomal RNA". The stretch from base 1 to 46 matches the Rfam family "Eukaryotic small subunit ribosomal RNA", at positions 1786 to 1831 of the family's 1831-position model. The record is from RNAcentral. Lineage: Eukaryota; Fungi; Basidiomycota; Agaricomycetes; Boletales; Boletaceae.